Molecule: non-coding RNA, 32 nt
Filed under: Mus musculus (house mouse)
Lineage: Eukaryota; Metazoa; Chordata; Mammalia; Rodentia; Muridae
Source: RNAcentral
UGGCUAAAAAUAAAAAUAUUUUUCGGCUCUGC